Small nuclear RNA from Talpa occidentalis (Iberian mole), 109 nucleotides. Lineage: Eukaryota; Metazoa; Chordata; Mammalia; Eulipotyphla; Talpidae. The record is from RefSeq and is a predicted model, not a curated record.
AUCUUAUAGAUUAAAAAAAAGCAUAUGUACUAAAACUGGAAUAAUACAGACAUUAGCAUGGCCCCUACUCAGGAUGACAUUCAAAUUCUUGGAGAAGUCCAUAAUUUUA